Molecule: non-coding RNA, 45 nt
Filed under: Echinostoma caproni
Lineage: Eukaryota; Metazoa; Platyhelminthes; Trematoda; Plagiorchiida; Echinostomatidae
Source: RNAcentral
GCACUACUGACGAGUCCCAGACAGGACAAAAUAUGUGUCCAGUGC